AUGUAUCAUGUUGCAGAUAUUUCUUGGACAAGUAAGAGUUACGAUACAGGGUUACGGUCUACGCUCAACUUCCCGAUGGCGUUGAUGGGACUCCACAUCCGAUUGUUUGUUUCCGCUGAGACUUAUGAGAUGAUGAAUGAAGUUGGACUGGUAUUCUCUGGACCGAAAACCCAGCCGGAGGCAGAGCUAUGGAUUCAGAACAUGGAGAAUCACUUAGGGAGCAAUUUGAUUUCAAGAAAGAAUGAAGUAUCGUACGCUCUUUGGUACUUGAAGGAAGUGCUGCAACAUGGUGGCAGAUGCAUCAAGCUAUACAUGGAUGGAAUGGAACAAGGACUUGGGAAGAAUUCAAGAAGACUCUGA
This 360-nucleotide ribosomal RNA is filed under the name Triticum aestivum (bread wheat). RNAcentral describes it as "partial small subunit ribosomal RNA". Lineage: Eukaryota; Viridiplantae; Streptophyta; Magnoliopsida; Poales; Poaceae. The record is from RNAcentral.